RNAcentral lists this ribosomal RNA (1120 nucleotides) under Thelebolales sp. F1a. RNAcentral's name for it is "SSU rRNA". It matches the Rfam family "Eukaryotic small subunit ribosomal RNA", at positions 150 to 1278 of the family's 1831-position model. RNAcentral also lists the same sequence under 2 other names. The record is from RNAcentral. Lineage: Eukaryota; Fungi; Ascomycota; Leotiomycetes; Thelebolales.
UGGUAAUUCUAGAGCUAAUACAUGCUAAAAACCUCGACUUCGGAAGGGGUGUAUUUAUUAGAUAAAAAACCAACGCCCUUCGGGGCUCCUUGGUGAUUCAUGAUAACUUAACGAAUCGCAUGGCCUUGUGCCGGCGAUGGUUCAUUCAAAUUUCUGCCCUAUCAACUUUCGAUGGUAGGAUAGUGGCCUACCAUGGUUUCAACGGGUAACGGGGAAUUAGGGUUCUAUUCCGGAGAGGGAGCCUGAGAAACGGCUACCACAUCCAAGGAAGGCAGCAGGCGCGCAAAUUACCCAAUCCCGACACGGGGAGGUAGUGACAAUAAAUACUGAUACAGGGCUCUUUUGGGUCUUGUAAUUGGAAUGAGUACAAUUUAAAUCCCUUAACGAGGAACAAUUGGAGGGCAAGUCUGGUGCCAGCAGCCGCGGUAAUUCCAGCUCCAAUAGCGUAUAUUAAAGUUGUUGCAGUUAAAAAGCUCGUAGUUGAACCUUGGGCCUGGCUGGCCGGUCCGCCUCGCGGCGUGCACUGGUCCGGCCGGGCCUUUCCUCCUGGGGAACCGCAUGCCCUUCACUGGGUGUGUUGGGGAUCCAGGACUUUUACUUUGAAAAAAUUAGAGUGUUCAAAGCAGGCCUAUGCUCGAAUACAUUAGCAUGGAAUAAUAGAAUAGGACGUGUGGUUCUAUUUUGUUGGUUUCUAGGACCGCCGUAAUGAUUAAUAGGGAUAGUCGGGGGCAUCAGUAUUCCGUUGUCAGAGGUGAAAUUCUUGGAUUUACGGAAGACUAACUACUGCGAAAGCAUUUGCCAAGGAUGUUUUCAUUAAUCAGUGAACGAAAGUUAGGGGAUCGAAGACGAUCAGAUACCGUCGUAGUCUUAACCAUAAACUAUGCCGACUAGGGAUCGGGCGAUGUUAUCUUUUUGACUCGCUCGGCACCUUACGAGAAAUCAAAGUUUUUGGGUUCUGGGGGGAGUAUGGUCGCAAGGCUGAAACUUAAAGAAAUUGACGGAAGGGCACCACCAGGAGUGGAGCCUGCGGCUUAAUUUGACUCAACACGGGGAAACUCACCAGGUCCAGACACAAUAAGGAUUGACAGAUUGAGAGCUCUUUCUUGAUUUUGUGGGUGGU